GAUGAAGAACGUAGCGAAAUGCGAUAAGUAAUGUGAAUUGCAGAAUUCAGUGAAUCAUCGAAUCUUUGAACGCAAAUUGCGCCCGCCAGUAUUCUGGCGGGCAUGCCUGUUCGAGCGUCAUUUCAACCAUCAAGCCCCCGGCUUGUGUUGGGGACCUGCGGCUGCCGCAGGCCCUGAAAACCAGUGGCGGGCUCGCUAGUCACUCCGAGCGUAGUAAUACAUCUCGCUCAGGGCGUGCUGCGGGUUCCGGCCGUUAAAAAGCCUUAUUUACCCAAGGUUGACCUCGGAUCAGGUAGGAAGACCCGCUGAACUUAAGCAUAUCAAUAAGCGGAGGA
RNAcentral lists this unclassified non-coding RNA (335 nucleotides) under soil metagenome. RNAcentral's name for it is "partial contains 5.8S ribosomal RNA, internal transcribed spacer 2, and large subunit ribosomal RNA". The stretch from base 1 to 120 matches the Rfam family "5.8S ribosomal RNA", at positions 35 to 154 of the family's 154-position model. The record is from RNAcentral.